CGAACGCUGGCGGCGUGCUUAACACAUGCAAGUCGAACGUGAUUUUUGUGGAAAUUCUUUCGGGAAUGGAAAUGAAAUGAAAGUGGCGAACGGGUGAGUAACACGUGAGCAACCUACCUUACACAGGGGGAUAGCCGUUGGAAACGACGAUUAAUACCGCAUGAGACCACAGAAUCGCAUGAUAUAGGGGUAAAAGAUUUAUCGGUGUAAGAAGGGCUCGCGUCUGAUUAGCUAGUUGGAAGGGUAAAGGCCUACCAAGGCGACGAUCAGUAGCCGGUCUGAGAGGAUGAACGGCCACAUUGGAACUGAGACACGGUCCAAACUCCUACGGGAGGCAGCAGUGGGGAAUAUUGCACAAUGGGGGGAACCCUGAUGCAGCGACGCCGCGUGAGCGAAGAAGGUUUUCGAAUCGUAAAGC
RNAcentral lists this ribosomal RNA (418 nucleotides) under Parvimonas micra. RNAcentral's name for it is "bacterial SSU rRNA". It matches the Rfam family "Bacterial small subunit ribosomal RNA", at positions 30 to 431 of the family's 1533-position model. The record is from RNAcentral. Lineage: Bacteria; Bacillati; Bacillota; Tissierellia; Tissierellales; Peptoniphilaceae.